AACGAACGCUGGCGGCGCGUCUUAACCAUGCAAGUCGGACGGCAAUCCAGCAAUGGAUGAGAGUGGCGGACUGGUGAGUAACACGUGGGUGACAUACCCUUCGGACGGGGAUAGCUGGUAGAAAUAUCAGAUAAUACCGGAUAAGGUCGCGGAUAUCAGAAGUCCGCGAGGAAAGGAGCUUCGGCUCCACCGGAGGAAUGGCCUGCGGCCAAUCAGCUUGUUGGUGAGGUAACGGCCCACCAAGGCUAUAACGGGUAUCCGGCCUAAGAGGGCAAACGGACACAUUGGGACUGAGAUACGGCCCAGACUCCUACGGGAGGCAGCAGGUAAGAAUAUUCCGCAAUGGGCGAAAGCCUGACGGAGCGACGCCGCGUGUAUGAUGAAGGCCGAAAGGUUGUAAAGUACUUUUUGUCGCGAGGAAUAAGCGCGGGAGGCAAUGCCCGCGCGGUGACUGUAGCGCAGGAAUAAGCCCCGGCCAACUACGUGCCAGCAGCCGCGGU
RNAcentral lists this ribosomal RNA (500 nucleotides) under uncultured bacterium. RNAcentral's name for it is "bacterial SSU rRNA". It matches the Rfam family "Bacterial small subunit ribosomal RNA", at positions 29 to 521 of the family's 1533-position model. The record is from RNAcentral.